ACUUGUAAUCAAUUAUUAGUGAAUGAGACCCACCAAGGCUUGAGGCUGGUGUUUGAAUAUGGAUUAAUUGACCUGUCAGCAUAUUUGGGUCACCCAGGGCCAGUAUAAGAAGUCAGAAAAAUCUCAAGAAAGUUCAAGUUCGCCGAUGAUCCUGUUCAUGUAGCACAGGCACAAAAGCCUACUAAAAGAAUAUCCAAUCAGUUCUAUUUUCAAAAUCAGUAUUUUGGAGCAGGUCCUUGUUCACCCUGCAGCCUUGUGUCUGCUAUCCAGAUGGACUCAUUACAAUGAUUCCCACACAGCUGAGAGGCAUCUGCAGAUGACAGGAAGGGGCUGACGGAGAAUUGCCAUAUGACCAAUCGAUACUGAGAUGACAGUAGCAGGAUGGUAUGCGUGUUGCUGUCAGAUAUUUGUCCAAUCUGAUGCUCCUCCAUUGCAGCAGGUUCAUGUUAAUAGAUUCCAAAAUAUCACGUUUCUACUGGAAAAAGUUUCUGCUUUGCAUUGGAUUCCUUUGUUCAUUUAACCAUAUUCUUCAGAUGUUGAAGAACUUUGGGAAAUAAACACAUUGGCUGGUGUGAUCUGAAUGGACCCUUCACCUUCAGUGUUAGAAUGUGACCUUUCACGUGAGAUAGAGUGUUCUGGUGAGGACUAUUGAGUGAGAUGUCCUUGGAACAUAUGGAGGUGUGAUGUUUUAUGUGGCGUUGUUUUUAAAGAUCUGGAAUGAAACCAAAGGCUGGAUGUUCAAACAAUGAUCUAUCACUGUGUCAAUACCAGGUUGCUCCAGGGUUUUUUCCCCCGCGAUAAGAGCUCUAGAAGUUAGUUUUGAUAUAAGCACCAUCAAAGUAACUCAUUUAAAGACAUUAAUUCAUACUCAACCUGUUCAGAUUGUCACAUUUUCUUUAUUUCUUAUUCAGUUUGAGUUAGGAAAGUUAGCUUCUCAUCUGGCCUGCUUCCAUGUGGGUUACACUCUGUGCUGACUGUAAUAUCUCUACGAUGUACUAGUGUAAUUAUAGAUGUGCUCAAAGCUUCAGUACCACAUGUUCCUGCUUUCAGAAAUAUAAAAUCACUGGCUUUAUGUGUCUCUGUGGUGACAUCCUGUGUGACAUUAUAAUAACUCCUUGCAUUUGUCAUCUGUUGCUGAUUUGAUUCAUUUUUAUAAAUUGGUUUUAUAAAUUGGUUUUAUAAAUUGCAUGUAAA
Carassius gibelio (silver crucian carp) is the source of this 1194-nucleotide long non-coding RNA. RefSeq lists it as uncharacterized. The transcript has 4 exons. The record is from RefSeq and is a predicted model, not a curated record. Lineage: Eukaryota; Metazoa; Chordata; Actinopteri; Cypriniformes; Cyprinidae.